GUUCUUUUAUUUUCGACCACCACCACAACCGCCACACAGCCACCACCUCCCCACUUUCCGACCACCUUUGGCGAACCCACACCCAGCCGACCAACCGCCGACCGUCGCCCUCCUCUCUCGCUGCACCUUCGUCUCCUUCGACCCCCCCUGCACACUCGUCUCUCUCUCUCUCCUCCGCGACACCGCCGCACCACCGCGCACCCCCCUUACCUUUCUGCCCGUCACUAUUACCCCGCCUGUCGCCGUCGCCGCCGCGAACUGACGCCACCAGCAGGCCUCCGUCGGUGACCCACAUUCUUUCUCUCGCUCCUGCGUGUGUGUGUCUGGUGCAGAACUCGUUCCUCGGAGCUCAGUAAGGACGAUAUCAAGGACAUAAGAAGAGGAUUAUUAUUAUUCUGCAAUCAAGGUACUGCUGGGGACGAUGGUACUGCGUAGUGGCAAGGAUUACCACCUUAUUAAAUCAUCUAGUAAUAGUGCUACUAACUUGUAAGGUUAACUUAACUAGAAUGUAAGACCAUAUUCUUUAAUAUAAAUUAUCAUUGUCAUGUCAUGUAACGUUAACGUUGUUUACUUUAUUAUAUCAUAACAUGUUUAAGUUAUCACUAUUAUCUCAUAAUGUUUAAAUAUGUUAUAUGAUUGUAGCCUUGCACCUUCCUAACCGAAGGUGCGGCAGUAAUGCCUCGACUAAAUAGGUAUUCCGCUGCUAAUUAGAUUAUCUUAAA
Beta vulgaris subsp. vulgaris (sugar beet) is the source of this 722-nucleotide long non-coding RNA. RefSeq lists it as uncharacterized. The record is from RefSeq and is a predicted model, not a curated record. NCBI's taxonomy places the organism in Eukaryota, Viridiplantae, Streptophyta, Magnoliopsida, Caryophyllales, Amaranthaceae. The transcript is spliced from 3 exons.